RNAcentral lists this ribosomal RNA (152 nucleotides) under Stenotrophomonas maltophilia. RNAcentral's name for it is "partial 23S ribosomal RNA". It matches the Rfam family "Bacterial large subunit ribosomal RNA", at positions 2777 to 2925 of the family's 2925-position model. Lineage: Bacteria; Pseudomonadati; Pseudomonadota; Gammaproteobacteria; Lysobacterales; Lysobacteraceae. The record is from RNAcentral.
GCAUCUAAGCGGGAAGCGCGCCUCAAGAUGAGAUCUCCCGGGGCACAAGCCCCCUGAAGGAACCAUGUAGACUACGUGGUUGAUAGGUCAGGUGUGUAAGUACAGCAAUGUAUUGAGCUAACUGAUACUAAUGAUCCGUGCGGCUUGACCAU